AACGAACGCUGGCGGCGUGGAUUAGGCAUGCAAGUCGUACGGGCCGCAAGGCCAGUGGCGCAAGGGUGAGUAAUGCGACGGUAACCAACCCCAUGGGUGGGUAUAGCCGCGGGAAACCGCGGGUAAUCCCCAGCGACGUGUCGGGCCGGCAUCGGCCUGACACCAAAGCUCCGGCGCCGUGGGACGGGCCGUCGUGGUAUUAGGUAGUUGGCGGGGUAACGGCCCACCAAGCCUGCGAUGCCUACCGGGCGUGCGAGCGUGGCCCGGCACACAGGGACUGAGACACUGCCCAGACUCCUACGGGAGGCUGCAGUCGAGAAUCUUCGGCAAUGGGCGCAAGCCUGACCGAGCGACGCCGCGUGGAGGACGAAGGCCUUCGGGUUGUAAACUCCUGUCGAGGGGGAGGAAGGCCGGGUAACCGGCUUGACCGAUCCCUGGAGGAAGCACGGGCUAAGUUCGUGCCAGCAGCCGCAGUAAUAC
RNAcentral lists this ribosomal RNA (480 nucleotides) under uncultured bacterium. Its description in RNAcentral is "bacterial SSU rRNA". It matches the Rfam family "Bacterial small subunit ribosomal RNA", at positions 28 to 526 of the family's 1533-position model. The record is from RNAcentral.